This is a long non-coding RNA of Chinchilla lanigera (long-tailed chinchilla), 2016 nucleotides long. NCBI's taxonomy places the organism in Eukaryota, Metazoa, Chordata, Mammalia, Rodentia, Chinchillidae. The record is from Ensembl.
GCAAAGGCCUGAGAAAGCAAAACAAACUAAACUAGAGACAAGGUGAGAUAAGCCUCGAGAAAAAUUAGAGCACAAAAGGCAAAGAACUGACUGAAUCCACUGAUGGGAUCCCUGUCAAAGCAGUAACAGAAAAAACUAUUUUUGCAUGCCCUCUCCUCCUUUGUCUGCCCUCCAAAAAGCUACACAGAAACUUCUACUAUUAGGCCCUUCCUUGGCCAUUUUUGUCCUCUUUACAUCUAAACAAAAACCCAGGAGAGGGAAGAUGAGGCCCACAUUGGAUUGCAAAGAUAAUAAAUUCUGUCUGGGCUCUUGGAUUCCCACCAUGGAACUCAUCUCUACAGAGAGGCAAGUGAGGCAAAACAGCUGGAUAACGCAUAUACUCUUUCUCUGUCCCUUUGUAAAAGAAUCUAAAGAACAAACCAAAACAAUGACAGUAUUCUGACAAUCAGUUAAAAGUUGUCAGAGUGGCUGCUACCCCUCAUUCAGAGAACAGGUUCCCUAGAACCUCCUGGUGAACUGCCCACUGAAUCCACUGGGGAUAUUAGCCAGACUGGAUUCCUUUCUAGAGGCAGAUCCCUCGUUGUAUGGAGCUGGCCAAAGCUGCACUGGCAACAGUGAGACUCUGGCUGGGACUAUUCUCCCCUGGGUUCUCAAAGGCUAUCCCAUGGAAGCUGGGUCCUGACAGCCCAACUGGGUAUCCAGCAGAGAAAUCUCCAUUUAACUAUCAUCCCACCUCUACUGCUCUGUGAGGUGACAGGUAAACUCUCUUGGUGCUCUUCAUGCAUUCCCUCUUCCAGGGUAAUGCUGGAUUCCAUCAGUGCCCUCUCUUAAGCCUCUAUUAACUACUAAUCAAACCACGAAGUUGGGUAUUUCUCUCUUUGAUAGGGUGACAGGUACCCUACUCCUUCUCCAGAUAUGUCUUGACAGAUUUACUAGGCUGGGAACACGUUAGAAUCCUAGCCCACCCUACUGUCCUUGAUGUUUGGGUCUCCACCUUGACUUUCAUAGGAUCAAUAUCUAACAAAUAACCCCCUAGAUUACCUGAGAACUGUUUGCUAGGACAAAGGUCAUAGUCAAGGGAAAGUUUCCCCACCUCCAGGGAAUUUUAUCAUUCCACCUCACUAAAAGCUAGCAUUGCUCAGGGAGGAGAGUUAAUUUUGAAACUCACACAACUAUUUCCUUCCACCUCAGGAAAAUAAAAACAAAAACCUAGUACUACUCUAAAUAAAUGCCCCUGGGCACCCCAUCCCUCUCUCUUGGAGGUUGGGCUAAGGCAUAUCAUUAUGAAGGCUGUGUAGGGCCUCAAAAUUUAUUCAAUCCAAAUCCAUCUAUCCACUAUGAGGAUCAGGCCCUGGAUACCCCCUCAGAACAAUGCACGGACACUAAACCCAACUAAUUUCAACCUGCCCCACAGAGCAGUGAUCCACUCUCUUGCUAUCAUAAACAGAGACAGAAAAAGAGCAAGUAACAAAGGAUAUAGGGUGGCACCCUAUCUCCUAACCUCUUACCACCCCCAAAUGCUAAAACUCUGAAGGACACUUAUUACAUACUGUCCUAUAGGCUGCUUGCUUCCGGUAGCAAAAAUGUACUCUAGUACCUUUAAUACAGAGGAACAGCUAGGAAAAGCAGGUUACUGUAGUAAGCUUAAUACAGGGAAACAGCUAUCAAGGAGUAAUUUACUGUAAUAACUCUAGUUCAAAAUAAGAUAACCAUCCAAUUCCCUAAACAGUCCUUGUUUUCAGUGUUAAAGGGUUUCUAUUUCUCCCUUUUUCAACUCUCACUGGUGUUAGAGUUACAAGGGAUCUCUGUGCUGAUUGGUCAUGCCUAAAGUAUUUCUCACUAGUCUAUUUAUAGUUAUAAACCUGUAACAGAUUAUUUUACCUCCAAUGGAUAACAAGGAUGUGGUAUUUUUAUACAGUGGAGUAUUACUCAGCUAUUAAAAAAAAAUAAACUCGAGGCUUCUGUAGGUAAAUGGAUGCAACUAGAGACCAUACUCCCAAGUGAAAUAAAUCAGAC